RNAcentral lists this ribosomal RNA (253 nucleotides) under uncultured bacterium. RNAcentral's name for it is "partial 16S ribosomal RNA". It matches the Rfam family "Bacterial small subunit ribosomal RNA", at positions 524 to 776 of the family's 1533-position model. The record is from RNAcentral.
UACGUAGGUGGCAAGCGUUAUCCGGAUUUACUGGGUGUAAAGGGAGCGUAGGCGGCGAUGCAAGUCAGAAGUGAAAGCCCGGGGCUCAACUCCGGGACUGCUUUUGAAACUGUGUUGCUAGAUUGCAGGAGAGGUAAGUGGAAUUCCUAGUGUAGCGGUGAAAUGCGUAGAUAUUAGGAGGAACACCAGUGGCGAAGGCGGCUUACUGGACUGUAAAUGACGCUGAGGCUCGAAAGCGUGGGGAGCAAACAGG